ACACAUGCAGCCGAGCGGUAUUGUUUCUUCGGAAUGAGAGAGCGGCGUACGGGUGCGGAACACGUGUGCAACCUGCCUUUAUCUGGGGGAUAGCCUUUCGAAAGGAAGAUUAAUACUCCAUAAUAUAUUGAACGGCAUCGUUUAAUAUUGAAAGCUCCGGCGGAUAGAGAUGGACACGCGCAAGAUUAGCUAGUUGGUGAGGUAACGGCUCACCAAGGCGAUGAUCUUUAGGGGGCCUGAGAGGGUGAUCCCCCACACUGGUACUGAGACACGGACCAGACUCCUACGGGAGGCAGCAGUGAGAAAUAUUGGUCAAUGGGUGCAAGCCUGAACCAGCCAUCCCGCGUGAAGGACGACUGCCCUAUGGGUUGUAAACUUCUUUUGUAUAGGGAUAAACCUACCCUCGUGAGGGUAGCUGAAGGUACUAUACGAAUAAGCACCGGCUAACUCCGUGCCAGCCGCCGCGGUAAUACGGAGGGUGCAAGCGUUAUCCGGAUUUAUUGGGUUUAAAGGGUCCGUAGGCGGACUUAUAAGUCAGUGGUGAAAGCCUGUCGCUUAACGAUAGAACUGCCAUUGAUACUGUAAGUCUUGAGUAUAUUUGAGGUAGCUGGAAUAAGUAGUGUAGCGGUGGAAUGCAUAGAUAUUACUUAGAACACCAAUUGCGACGGCAGGUUACCAAGAUAUAACUGACGCUGAGGGACGAAAGCGUGGGGAGCGAACAGGAUUAGAUACCCUGCUAGUCCACGCCGUAAACGAUGCUAACUCGUUUUUGGGCUUUAGGGU
Molecule: ribosomal RNA, 783 nt
Filed under: uncultured bacterium
Lineage: Bacteria
Description: bacterial SSU rRNA
Rfam family: Bacterial small subunit ribosomal RNA
Source: RNAcentral